AGCGAACGCUGGCGGCAGGCCUAACACAUGCAAGUCGAACGAACCCUUCGGGGUUAGUGUCGGACGGGUGAGUAACAGGUGGGGACGUGCCUUUGGGUUAGGAAUAAGUCAGGGAAACUUGUUCUAAUACCGAAUGUGCCCUUCGGGGGAAAGAUAUAUCGCCUUUAGAGCGGCCCGCGUCUGAUUAGCUAGUUGGUGAGGUAAUGGCUCACCAAGGCGACGAUCAGUAGCUGGUCUGAGAGGAUGACCAGCCACAUUGGGACUGAGACACGGCCCAAACUCCUACGGGAGGCAGCAGUGGGGAAUCUUGCGCAAUGGGCGAAAGCCUGACGCAGCCAUGCCGCGUGGAUGAUGAAGGUCUUAGGAUUGUAAAAUCCUUUCACCGGUGAAGAUAAUGACUGUAGCCGGAGAAGAAGCCCCGGCUAACUUCGUGCCAGCAGCCGCGGUAA
This 449-nucleotide ribosomal RNA is filed under the name uncultured bacterium. RNAcentral's name for it is "partial 16S ribosomal RNA". It matches the Rfam family "Bacterial small subunit ribosomal RNA", at positions 29 to 523 of the family's 1533-position model. The record is from RNAcentral.